This 1459-nucleotide ribosomal RNA is filed under the name uncultured Bordetella sp. Its description in RNAcentral is "partial 16S-23S ribosomal RNA intergenic spacer". It matches the Rfam family "Bacterial small subunit ribosomal RNA". Lineage: Bacteria; Pseudomonadati; Pseudomonadota; Betaproteobacteria; Burkholderiales; Alcaligenaceae. The record is from RNAcentral.
GGUUCGAUCCUGGCUCAGGAUUGAACGCUGGCGGGAUGCUUUACACAUGCAAGUCGAACGCGCAGCACGGACUUCGGUCUGGUGGCGAGUGGCGAACGGGUGAGUAAUGUAUCGGAACGUGCCUAGUAGCGGGGGAUAACUACGCGAAAGUGGAAGCACACCGCAUACGGGCCCCUUCGGGGGAAAGCGGGGGACCUUUCGGGCCUCGGUAUUAGAGCGGCCGAUAUCGGAUUAGCUAGUUGGUGGGGUAACGGCUCACCAAGGCGACGAUCCGUGGCUGUUUGAGAGGACGACCAGCCACACUGGGACUGAGACACGGCCCAGACUCCUACGGAGGCAGCAGUGGGGAAUUUUGGACAAUGGGGAAACCCCGAUCCAGCCAUCCGCGUGUGCGAUGAAGGCCUUCGGGCUGUGUUAAUUUCGGGGCAGGAAAGAAACGGCACGGGAUAAUACCCCGUGCAACUGACGGUACCUGUAGAAUACACCGGCUAACCACGCCAGCAGCCGCGGUAAUACGUAGGUGCAAGACCGGAAUUACUGGGCGCAAGGUGCGCAGGCGGUCUGGAAAGAGACGUGAAAUCCCAGAGCUUAACUUUGAAAAACUCAUUUUUAACUACCGAGCUAGAGUGUGUCAGAGGGAGGUGGAAUUCCGUGUAAGGUGAAAUGCGUAGAUAUGCGAGAACAACGAUGGCGAAGGCAGCCUCCUGGGAUAACACCGACGCCCGUUUUUUUAUCGAAAGUGGGGAGCAAACAGGAUUAGAUACCCUGGUAGUCCACGCCCUAAACGAUGUCAACUAGCUGUUGGGGCCUCGGGCUCUGCAGGCGCAGCUAAUGGCGGUGAAGUUGACCGCCUGGGGAGUACGGUCGUGUUAAAACUCGUGGCGGAAUUGAUUUGGGACCCGCACAAGCGGUGGAUGAUGUGGAUUGACUCGAUGCAACGCGAAAAACCUUACCUACCUCGACAUGUUCAAAUCCUGAAGAUUUGGGAGUGUUUCCGUAAGAGAACUGGAACACAGGUGCUGCAUGGCUGUCGUCGCCGUCGUGAGAGUGUUGGUUAAGUCCCAACAGAGUGCAACCCUUGUCAUUAGUUGUUACGGAAAGGGCACUCUACGAGACUGUUGGUGACAAAACUCGAGAAGGUGGGGAUGACGUCAAGUCCUCGCGCCCUUAUGGGUAGGGCUUCACAUCGUCAUACAAUGGUCGGGACAGAGGGUCGCUAACCCGCGAGGGGAGCCAAUCCAGAACCUGAUCGUAGGUCCGAUCGUAGUCUGGCAACUCGACUGCGUGAAGUCGGAAUCGCUAGUAACGAUUGCAUGUCGCGGUGAACAUGUCUUCGGGUCCAAAGACACCGCCUGUCACACCAUGGAGGCUUUACCAGAUAGUUAGGCCCUAACCGUAAGGAGGGCGAUUACCACGGUAGGAUUCAUGACUGGGGUGAAGCUGCGUCCAAAGGUGAAUC